Molecule: ribosomal RNA, 431 nt
Filed under: uncultured bacterium
Lineage: Bacteria
Description: bacterial SSU rRNA
Rfam family: Bacterial small subunit ribosomal RNA
Source: RNAcentral
AACGCGAAGAACCUUACCAAGGCUUGACAUAUAGCGAAAAGUGGCAGAGAUGUCAUGUCCGCAAGGGCGCUAUACAGGUGGUCCAUGGUUGUCGUCAGCUCGUGUCGUGAGAUGUUGGGUUAAGUCCCGCAACGAGCGCAACCCUCGUUCUGUGUUACCAGCAUUCAGUUGGGGACUCACAGGAGACUGCCGGGGUCAACUCGGAGGAAGGUGGGAAUGACGUCAAAUCAUCAUGCCCCUUAUGUCUUGGGCUGCACGCAUGCUACAAUGGCCGGUACAAAGUGCUGCGAGAUCGUAAGAUUGAGCGAAUCACAUAAAGCCGGUCUCAGUUCGGAUUGAGGUCUGCAACUCGACCUCAUGAAGUCGGAGUUGCUAGUAAUCGUAGAUCAGCAACGCUACGGUGAAUACGUUCCCGGGUCUUGUACACACCG